This 309-nucleotide ribosomal RNA is filed under the name Triticum aestivum (bread wheat). RNAcentral's name for it is "partial small subunit ribosomal RNA". Lineage: Eukaryota; Viridiplantae; Streptophyta; Magnoliopsida; Poales; Poaceae. The record is from RNAcentral.
AUGAUUCCAGAUCCGCGAUGGAGGUGCUCCGUGCUCGAGGUGGCGCGCUGCGGCGGCGGGCGGGGCGGGAUCAAGGUCAGCGAGGCAGGACGUACACCAGCGGCGCGGAGGUGCGUUGAUCGAUGCGGCUCGUCAGCCCCGGCAUGGAGGAGGCUGCAGUUUGUAGAUUUCACCAAGAUCAUGUCGGCGGAGAUGUCCCGCGCCGAGAAGGAGGAGCGGUUCGCGCUCGAGGCGCUGGAGAAGAUCCCGAGCCAGUACGCUGCGAUCGUCAGCCAGCAUGAGCCAGCAAUGUUCAGAGAAAUGCUGUAG